RNAcentral lists this ribosomal RNA (398 nucleotides) under uncultured bacterium. RNAcentral describes it as "partial 16S ribosomal RNA". It matches the Rfam family "Bacterial small subunit ribosomal RNA", at positions 523 to 918 of the family's 1533-position model. The record is from RNAcentral.
AUACGUAGGGUGCGAGCGUUGUCCGGAAUUACUGGGCGUAAAGAGCUCGUAGGUGGUUUGUCGCGUCAUCUGUGAAAUUCCGGGGCUUAACUCCGGGCGUGCAGGCGAUACGGGCAUAACUUGAGUACUGUAGGGGAGACUGGAAUUCCUGGUGUAGCGGUGAAAUGCGCAGAUAUCAGGAGGAACACCGGUGGCGAAGGCGGGUCUCUGGGCAGUAACUGACGCUGAGGAGCGAAAGCAUGGGUAGCGAACAGGAUUAGAUACCCUGGUAGUCCAUGCCGUAAAGGGUGGGCGCUAGGUGUAGGGGUCUUCCACGACUUCUGUGCCGUAGCUAACGCAUUAAGCGCCCCGCCUGGGGAGUACGGCCGCAAGGCUAAAACUCAAAUGAAUUGACGGGG